This 254-nucleotide ribosomal RNA is filed under the name uncultured bacterium. RNAcentral describes it as "partial 16S ribosomal RNA". It matches the Rfam family "Bacterial small subunit ribosomal RNA", at positions 524 to 776 of the family's 1533-position model. The record is from RNAcentral.
UACGGGGGGAGCAAGCGUUGUUCGGAUUUACUGGGCGUAAAGGGCGCGUAGGCGGCCACUGCAAGUCAGUUGUGAAAUCUCCGGGCUUAACUCGGAAAGGUCAACUGAUACUGCAGGGCUAGAGUACAGAAGGGGCAACUGGAAUUCUCGGUGUAGCGGUGAAAUGCGUAGAUAUCGAGAGGAACACCUGCGGCGAAGGCGGGUUGCUGGGCUGACACUGACGCUGAAGCGCGAAAGCCAGGGGAGCGAACGGG